GCACUGAUGAGCAGUCCCAUAUUAGGACGAAACGAUCGUCCAGUGC
Molecule: non-coding RNA, 46 nt
Organism: Schistosoma haematobium
Lineage: Eukaryota; Metazoa; Platyhelminthes; Trematoda; Strigeidida; Schistosomatidae
Source: Rfam